This 616-nucleotide ribosomal RNA is filed under the name uncultured bacterium. Its description in RNAcentral is "bacterial SSU rRNA". It matches the Rfam family "Bacterial small subunit ribosomal RNA", at positions 1 to 618 of the family's 1533-position model. The record is from RNAcentral.
GAUGAGUUUGAUCCUGGCUCAGAUUGAACGCUGGCGGCAGGCCUAACACAUGCAAGUCGAACGGUAACAGGAAGUGCUUGCACUUUGCUGACGAGUGGCGGACGGGUGAGUAAUACUUAGGGAUCUGCCUUUGGGUGGGGGACAACCAUUGGAAACGAUGGCUAAUACCGCAUGACGUCUACGGACCAAAGGGGGCUUUUAGCUCUCGCCCAGAGAGGAACCUAAGCGAGAUUAGCUAGUUGGUGGGGUAAAGGCCUACCAAGGCGACGAUCUCUAGCUGUUCUGAGAGGAAGAUCAGCCACACUGGGACUGAGACACGGCCCAGACUCCUACGGGAGGCAGCAGUGGGGAAUAUUGCACAAUGGGGGAAACCCUGAUGCAGCCAUGCCGCGUGUGUGAAGAAGGCCUUCGGGUUGUAAAGCACUUUCAGACGUGAGGAAAGGGAUGUGGUUAAUACCCACAUUCUGUGACGUUAGCGUCAGAAGAAGCACCGGCUAACUCCGUGCCAGCAGCCGCGGUAAUACGGAGGGUGCGAGCGUUAAUCGGAAUUACUGGGCGUAAAGCGCACGCAGGCGGUUUGUUAAGCUAGAAGUGAAAGCCCCGGGCUCAACCUGGG